Molecule: ribosomal RNA, 497 nt
Filed under: uncultured bacterium
Lineage: Bacteria
Description: partial 16S ribosomal RNA
Rfam family: Bacterial small subunit ribosomal RNA
Source: RNAcentral
GAUGAACGCUGGCGGCGUGCCUAAUACAUGCAAGUCGAGCGAACAGACGAGGAGCUUGCUCCUCUGACGUUAGCGGCGGACGGGUGAGUAACACGUGGAUAACCUACCUAUAAGACUGGGAUAACUUCGGGAAACCGGAGCUGAUACCGGAUGAUAUAUUGAACCGCAUGGUUCAAUAGUGAAAGACGGUUUUGCUGUCACUUAUAGAUGGAUCCGCGCCGCAUUAGCUAGUUGGUAAGGUAACGGCUUACCAAGGCAACGAUGCGUAGCCGACCUGAGAGGGUGAUCGGCCACACUGGAACUGAGACACGGUCCAGACUCCUACGGGAGGCAGCAGUAGGGAAUCUUCCGCAAUGGGCGAAAGCUUGACGGAGCAACGCCGCGUGAGUGAUGAAGGUCUUCGGAUCGUAAAACUCUGUUAUUAGGGAAGAACAAAUGUGUAAGUAACUAUGCACGUCUUGACGGUACCUAAUCAGAAAGCCACGGCUAACUACGUG